CAGUCGCCGCGGUAAUACAGAGGGUGCAAGCGUUAAUCGGAAUUACUGGGCGUAAAGCGCGCGUAGGUGGUUUGUUAAGUUGGAUGUGAAAUCCCCGGGCUCAACCUGGGAACUGCAUCAAAAACUGGCAAGCUAGAGUAUGGUAGAGGGUGGUGGAAUUUCCUGUGUAGCGGUGAAAUGCGUAGAUAUAGGAAGGAACACCAGUGGCGAAGGCGACCACCUGGACUGAUACUGACACUGAGGUGCGAAAGCGUGGGGAGCAAACAGGAUUAGAUACCCGGGUAGUCCCUGUCUCUUAUAC
This 301-nucleotide ribosomal RNA is filed under the name uncultured bacterium. Its description in RNAcentral is "partial 16S ribosomal RNA". It matches the Rfam family "Bacterial small subunit ribosomal RNA", at positions 509 to 807 of the family's 1533-position model. The record is from RNAcentral.